RNAcentral lists this ribosomal RNA (480 nucleotides) under uncultured bacterium. Its description in RNAcentral is "partial 16S ribosomal RNA". It matches the Rfam family "Bacterial small subunit ribosomal RNA", at positions 28 to 507 of the family's 1533-position model. The record is from RNAcentral.
GAUGAACGCUAGCGGCAGGCCUAACACAUGCAAGUCGAGGGGGAGGUUACUUUCGGGUAUCUGAGACCGGCGUACGGGUGCGUAACGCGUAUACAAUCUGCCUUUCACUGGGGGAUAGCCCGAAGAAAUUUGGAUUAAUACCCCAUAGUAUAGUAAUACGGCAUCGUGAUGCUAUUAAAGCUUAGGUGGUGAAAGUUGAGUAUGCGUUCUAUUAGCUAGUUGGAGAGGUAACGGCUCCCCAAGGCGAUGAUAGAUAGGGGUUCUGAGAGGGAUGUCCCCCACACUGGUACUGAGAUACGGACCAGACUCCUACGGGAGGCAGCAGUGAGGAAUAUUGGACAAUGGUCGGAAGACUGAUCCAGCCAUGCCGCGUGCAGGAUGAAGGUCUUAUGGAUUGUAAACUGCUUUUGUAAGGGAAGAAUAAGGGCUACGCGUAGUUUGAUGACGGUACCUUACGAAUAAGCAUCGGCUAACUCCGUG